GACGGAGGGGGCGAGCGUUAUUCGGAAUCAUUGGGCGUAAAGAGCGUGUAGGCGGCCGGUUAAGUCAGGUGUGAAAGCCCGGGGCUCAACCUCGGAAGUGCACUUGAAACUGGUCGGCUUGAGUUCGGGGGAGGGAAGCGGAAUUCCUGGUGUAGAGGUGAAAUUCGUAGAUAUCAGGAGGAACAUCGGUGGCGAAGGCGGCUUCCUGGACCGAAACUGACGCUGAGACGCGAAAGCGUGGGGAGCAAACAGG
Molecule: ribosomal RNA, 253 nt
Filed under: uncultured bacterium
Lineage: Bacteria
Description: partial 16S ribosomal RNA
Rfam family: Bacterial small subunit ribosomal RNA
Source: RNAcentral